CAGUAGCCGCGGGAAUACGAAGGGAGCUAGCGUUGUUCGGAUUUACUGGGCGUAAAGGGCGCAUAGGCGGACUGAUAAGUCAGGGGUGAAAUCCCAAGGCUCAACCUUGGAACUGCCUUUGAUACUGUUUGUCUUGAGUUCGAGAGAGGUAAGUGGAAUUGCGAGUGUAGAGGUGAAAUUCGUAGAUAUUCGCAAGAACACCAGUGGCGAAGGCGGCUUACUGGUCUGUAACUGACGCUGAGGAGCGAAAGCGUGGGGAGCGAACAGGAUUAGAUACCCCUGUAGUCCCUGUCUCUUAUAC
This 301-nucleotide ribosomal RNA is filed under the name uncultured bacterium. Its description in RNAcentral is "partial 16S ribosomal RNA". It matches the Rfam family "Bacterial small subunit ribosomal RNA", at positions 509 to 807 of the family's 1533-position model. The record is from RNAcentral.